CCUACGGGUGGCAGCAGUGGGGAAUAUUGGACAAUGGGCGAAAGCCUGAUCCAGCCAUGCCGCGUGUGUGAAGAAGGCCUUCGGGUUGUAAAGCACUUUCAGUGGGGAAGAAAGCCUUGGGGCUAAUACCCUCGAGGAAGGACAUCACCCACAGAAGAAGCACCGGCUAACUCCGUGCCAGCAGCCGCGGUAAUACGGAGGGUGCGAGCGUUAAUCGGAAUUACUGGGCGGAAAGCGCGCGUAGGCGGUCUGAUAAGCCGGUUGUGAAAGCCCCGGGCUCAACCUGGGAACGGCAUCCGGAACUGUCAGGCUAGAGUGCAGGAGAGGAAGGUAGAAUUCCCGGUGUAGCGGUGAAAUGCGUAGAGAUCGGGAGGAAUACCAGUGGCGAAGGCGGCCUUCUGGACUGACACUGACGCUGAGGUGCGAAAGCGUGGGUAGCAAACAGGAUUAGAUACCCGGGUAGUC
This 465-nucleotide ribosomal RNA is filed under the name Vreelandella stevensii. RNAcentral's name for it is "partial 16S ribosomal RNA". It matches the Rfam family "Bacterial small subunit ribosomal RNA", at positions 338 to 795 of the family's 1533-position model. Lineage: Bacteria; Pseudomonadati; Pseudomonadota; Gammaproteobacteria; Oceanospirillales; Halomonadaceae. The record is from RNAcentral.